CAAGACCAUUCUUACACUGCUCGGGGGAGCCCCUCAGGAGAAGACACAUUUAAGAGUUUCCAGCAAGAAGAGUCAGGUCAUGCAGUCAGCUGCUUUCUCAGCCCAGCUGUGGGAAUGUAAACAAGUUUCUAACCUCAUUGAAUCUUAGGUUCCCUGUUUGAAAACAGAUGAGAUCCACAACAGCCAUUAUUUUAUUGGAUGGUUGUUGUAUGGCAGGGGCUGUACUGAAGAGUCACGCACAUUACUUAGUCUUCCCAACAAUCCUGCAAGAUAUAGAAUCUUGACAUGUUUCUGAGGCUGGUCUGAAACUCCUGGGGCUCAAGCGAUCCACCUGACUCCACCUCUCAAAGUGCUGAGAUUACAGGGUCUAUGGUUCAUCCUGCAAUAUCAGAGAAUACACAACUGUUGGAAGCUCAUUUGUGCAGAAGCACUAGUUAGACCAAGUCCCAGGAUGGUGGGGACUUGAACUGCCUCAUGCACAUUGUACCCAAGAGCCUGGCCCAUGAAGGUAAAUCAGUGGAUACUUGAAUAAAAAGAAGAAUAUGUG
RNAcentral lists this long non-coding RNA (547 nucleotides) under Pan troglodytes (chimpanzee). RNAcentral describes it as "long non-coding RNA NONPTRT006756". The record is from RNAcentral. Lineage: Eukaryota; Metazoa; Chordata; Mammalia; Primates; Hominidae.